Molecule: long non-coding RNA, 1523 nt
Filed under: Sus scrofa (pig)
Lineage: Eukaryota; Metazoa; Chordata; Mammalia; Artiodactyla; Suidae
Description: lncRNA (ENSSSCG00005017238.1)
Source: RNAcentral
AUGCAAGAACCUGACCCCAGGGGCUGGGGAGAUCCGGUUGCAACUAGCUGUGCAGACUGGCCGGUGGGUGUUGGAGCAUCGGCCAAGGAUGCAGACAAGCUCAGCACCAUCAGCAGCAGCUCAGGGGACGCAGCAUUGAGCCUUCACGUGGCUGACCGCGUCUGUGUCCCUCCUGUGCCGGCGGCCAUGGGCACCUGGUCCCUGAAGAGCUGCCAGGAGGGGGGCAGCGUGUCCCCGCUUCCCAGGAGGAGCUACUAAGCAUCCACCCUUGUCUCCUUGCAGGCCUGGGAAGAGCCCGGCCUCCAUUCCACCAGCAGCACAGGAUAUCGGGGCUCUGCACCUCCACCUGGAACCUCAGGGCAGACGUCUCCGCUCCAUAGCUUUCGUCCUCGGUGUGGCCCAGACCACCAGAAGUGGAGAAGGAUUAUCUGCAGGUGUUAUAUCUCUGGAUUCCCCAAUUCUCUCACAGUCUACUAGGUCCCCAGAGCUAUAUUCCGUGACUCCUACAAGCCUGAGUAAAUUUAUCAGAGAAUUAUUAUUUAACGUUAUGUUCCCAAUUUUUUUGUGUGACAGUAGGAGAAACCAGUACAUUUAUUCAACAAAUAUUAGUUGAACUUUUACCACAUGCCAGGCACUGUUGUGAGCGCAGCAGCAAAGGUUGGUUAUUUGACAUGGAAAACAUCCUUCCCUAGCUUGUUGAAUAUUCCUUUAUGAAAAAAAAAUCUCCUAUUGCUUAGCUGGCCAAAAUAUUAUCUUUUCUGAAAAAAUGGAUACACUUCCUUUUAUUAGGUAAUGUAACAUAUAGGGAAUAUAGCGUGUGUUCAUAUUUCCCUUUUCAAUUUAACUAUCAGGAAACUCAGAGCUGAACGCAAUAUUCAUUGUUUGAUACAAUCAUUUCUUCCUUCAGUCUUUUUUGGUACCCUUUAAUUAUUCAUUGUAUACUGGUCAUCUACUGUAUGUCACUACAAACUCUUUGAAAGCAGAUUGAUCAGAUAUGACUAAUAAAUGACCUAAUUACAUUGCCUUAGCAAUACAUAAAUAUCCACCUGUUGAUAGAUGAUGCUCCUUAAGAAUAUUUUUGGGGUGCAGAGAAGAGAGAAAAAGGUGACCGUGAGUUAUAAGAGAAUAUAGAUACUUCCUACAGGUCAUUACCUCUUCCUUUAGUCCCUCAAUAUUUUCCUGUCUCUCAUAAUCACAGCUCUAAGGGAAUAUUCCUAAUUUAGAAAAGAAUGCUCAACUCCUUUGUGCAGGACACGGGGUUUGAGAAGAUGUGGAGGUGAGUCUUGUCAGCGAUGGAAUUGAGGAAAUGCACUGUGCGGGUCUCCGGGCUUCUUGUAGGCAAGCGAGUUGCUUGUCAAUGCCUGAUGUGGGAGCAUCUUCAUAACGCGUUUCUAUCCUCUGAGCACAUGCAUCUUAGAGCUCACAUGUCAUCAAACUCCGCUAUGAACUGCCAACUUCUUGCUCACCUGGUCCGAUUAAAACGAUAUCAUCCAUAUGGCAAGCCAGACUGAUGUCCCGCAGCC